RNAcentral lists this long non-coding RNA (225 nucleotides) under Elaeis guineensis (African oil palm). RNAcentral's name for it is "long non-coding RNA (EGUI_LNC061630)". Lineage: Eukaryota; Viridiplantae; Streptophyta; Magnoliopsida; Arecales; Arecaceae. The record is from RNAcentral.
UGAUGUUGUCAUAUUAAUGGUUGGAUCUAACCAAAAUUUUUAGUGGAGAACCACAUGCUUGCUGAAGGGAUGCCUGGGGCAAAAUCUAAUUACUAAAAAUUAUUUGAAGAAAUAAUUUGUUAUGAAUCUACCCAUGGAUGCACUAGGAUUGGCUAAGCCAUACUCGAGCUUGAAUGCGGUCUGUGUGAAUUUUAGUAUUCGCUAAAAAAAUUAAAGUAAUUUCUC